This is a non-coding RNA of Arachis ipaensis, 326 nucleotides long. The record is from RefSeq and is a predicted model, not a curated record. NCBI's taxonomy places the organism in Eukaryota, Viridiplantae, Streptophyta, Magnoliopsida, Fabales, Fabaceae.
AGGAGUUUAGGAUCGCACGUUCUUCUAGUCACCAGAUAGCGCAUGGUGACACUACUAUGUUCAUAUUGCAGGAUAUAGAUUACAUUCAUACUAAAGGUUGUAAUACUAGUUCUCGAUGUUCAUGCAGUUAUUGCAAAAGAUUCUCAGCACUUCCGACAUAUUGUUGUUUUUCUGGUGGACAAAUUUCGGAUAGACAAUUCUCUGUUGGAGAACUAUGUUUUUUUCUUGUUCCAAAAUUUUAUCUUUAUUUAUGCAGUUUCACUAAAAUAUUGUAUUUGCUUAUAUUUUUACCUUUAGUUAUUAAAUUCUAUUUUUUUAAUGCUCUA